RNAcentral lists this ribosomal RNA (449 nucleotides) under uncultured bacterium. Its description in RNAcentral is "partial 16S ribosomal RNA". It matches the Rfam family "Bacterial small subunit ribosomal RNA", at positions 29 to 523 of the family's 1533-position model. The record is from RNAcentral.
AACGAACGCUGGCGGCAGGCUUAACACAUGCAAGUCGAGCGGGCCCUUCGGGGUCAGCGGCAGACGGGUGAGUAACGCGUGGGAAUCUACCCAUCUCUGCGGAACAACUCCGGGAAACUGGAGCUAAUACCGCAUACGCCCUUUUGGGGAAAGAUUUGUCGGGGAUGGAUGAGCCCGCGUUGGAUUAGCUAGUUGGGGGGGUAAAGGCCUACCAAGGCGACGAUCCAUAGCUGGUCUGAGAGGAUGAUCAGCCACAUUGGGACUGAGACACGGCCCAAACUCCUACGGGAGGCAGCAGUGGGGAAUAUUGGACAAUGGGCGCAAGCCUGAUCCAGCCAUGCCGCGUGAGUGAUGAAGGCCUUAGGGUUGUAAAGCUCUUUCACCGAUGAAGAUAAUGACGGUAGUCGGAGAAGAAGCCCCGGCUAACUUCGUGCCAGCCGCCGCCGUAA